UCACCCCUCAAGCCCCUUGGGUUUGGCAUUGGACGGCCUGGUUUCGGUUAACGAAACCCCUCCUAAAGUGAAUGACGGCGGCUUGUCUGACCCCCGGUACACUGAGCUUCUUCACUGAGCACGUAUCGGUUCAAGUGGUUGACAGACGACGGUCUCCUCCCUCUCACCAGGGAAAAGAAGUUCAUUCUUCUUUAUUUUUACAA
RNAcentral lists this unclassified non-coding RNA (203 nucleotides) under uncultured Chaetothyriales. RNAcentral's name for it is "sequence contains ITS2". Lineage: Eukaryota; Fungi; Ascomycota; Eurotiomycetes; Chaetothyriales. The record is from RNAcentral.